RNAcentral lists this non-coding RNA (45 nucleotides) under Schistosoma mansoni. The record is from RNAcentral. Lineage: Eukaryota; Metazoa; Platyhelminthes; Trematoda; Strigeidida; Schistosomatidae.
AUCCAGCUGACGAGUCUUAAAUAAGACGAAACGUUCGUCCUGGAU